This is a non-coding RNA of Neonectria punicea, 72 nucleotides long. The record is from the annotation of a GenBank genome assembly. Lineage: Eukaryota; Fungi; Ascomycota; Sordariomycetes; Hypocreales; Nectriaceae.
GCCCUGUUGGCUUAGUGGCAAAGCGCAUCACUAGUAAUGAUGAGAUCACUGGUUCGACUCCAGUACAGGGCA